GAUGAACGCUGGCGGCGUGCUUAACACAUGCAAGUCGAACGGGAAACCUUUUAUUGAAUCUUCGGCAGAUUUAGCUGGUUUCUAGUGGCGGACGGGUGAGUAACGCGUGGGUAACCUGCCUUAUACAGGGGGAUAACAGUCAGAAAUGGCUGCUAAUACCGCAUAAGCGCACAGAGCUGCAUGGCUCAGUGUGAAAAACUCCGGUGGUAUAAGAUGGACCCGCGUUGGAUUAGCUGGUUGGUGGGGUAACGGCCCACCAAGGCGACGAUCCAUAGCCGGCCUGGGAGGGUGAACGGGCACAUUGGGACUGAGACACGGCCCAGACGCAUGCGGGAGGCAGCAGUGGGGAAUAAUGCACGAUGGGGGAAACCCUGAUGCAGCGACGCCGCGUGAAGGAAGAAGUAUCUCGGUAUGUAAACUUCUAUGAGCAGGGAAGAUGAUGACGGUACCUGACUAAGAAGCCCCGGCUAACUACGU
This 477-nucleotide ribosomal RNA is filed under the name uncultured bacterium. Its description in RNAcentral is "partial 16S ribosomal RNA". It matches the Rfam family "Bacterial small subunit ribosomal RNA", at positions 28 to 506 of the family's 1533-position model. The record is from RNAcentral.